This 639-nucleotide ribosomal RNA is filed under the name Stutzerimonas stutzeri. RNAcentral's name for it is "bacterial SSU rRNA". It matches the Rfam family "Bacterial small subunit ribosomal RNA", at positions 20 to 654 of the family's 1533-position model. Lineage: Bacteria; Pseudomonadati; Pseudomonadota; Gammaproteobacteria; Pseudomonadales; Pseudomonadaceae. The record is from RNAcentral.
UGGCUCAGAUUGAACGCUGGCGGCAGGCCUAACACAUGCAAGUCGAGCGGAUGAAGGGAGCUUGCUCCCUGAUUCAGCGGCGGACGGGUGAGUAAUGCCUAGGAAUCUGCCUGGUAGUGGGGGACAACGUCUCGAAAGGGACGCUAAUACCGCAUACGUCCUACGGGAGAAAGCAGGGGACCUUCGGGCCUUGCGCUAUCAGAUGAGCCUAGGUCGGAUUAGCUAGUUGGUGAGGUAAUGGCUCACCAAGGCUGCGAUCCGUAACUGGUCUGAGAGGAUGAUCAGUCACACUGGAACUGAGACACGGUCCAGACUCCUACGGGAGGCAGCAGUGGGGAAUAUUGGACAAUGGGCGAAAGCCUGAUCCAGCCAUGCCGCGUGUGUGAAGAAGGUCUUCGGAUUGUAAAGCACUUUAAGUUGGGAGGAAGGGCAGUAAGUUAAUACCUUGCUGUUUUGACGUUACCGACAGAAUAAGCACCGGCUAACUUCGUGCCAGCAGCCGCGGUAAUACGAAGGGUGCAAGCGUUAAUCGGAAUUACUGGGCGUAAAGCGCGCGUAGGUGGUUUGUUAAGUUGGAAGUGAAAGCCCCGGGCUCAACCUGGGAACUGCUUUCAAAACUGGCAAGCUAGAGUAUGGCAG